Molecule: unclassified non-coding RNA, 425 nt
Filed under: soil metagenome
Description: partial contains 5.8S ribosomal RNA, internal transcribed spacer 2, and large subunit ribosomal RNA
Rfam family: 5.8S ribosomal RNA (bases 1-121)
Source: RNAcentral
GAUGAAGAACGUAGCGAAUCGCGAUAAGUAAUGUGAAUUGCAGAUUUUCCGUGAAUCAUCGAAUCUUUGAACGCACCUUGCGCUCCUUGGUAUUCCGAGGAGCAUGCCUGUUUGAGUGUCAUCGAAACCUCGGAUCGACGCUUCGACCCCGUCGAAGCUCGGUUCGGACUGUGGGAGUCUGCCGGCGAAGCGUGACUUCGUCGGCUCUCCUCAAAAGCAUUAGCUGUGGGUGGCGAGCCUGGCAUGGCACGGCCUGUUCGACGUCGUAGUGAUCGUCGGGGGCUGGAAGUGUAUGGCUCGACGUGACCCAUGCUUCUCGAGUCUUGCGAGCCCGUCCCUCUGUGGGACGGCCGCGCCCCAUCGAAGCUUGACCUCAAAUCAGGUAGGACUACCCGCCGAACUUAAGCAUUUCAAUAAGCGGAGGA